RNAcentral lists this ribosomal RNA (427 nucleotides) under uncultured fungus. Its description in RNAcentral is "SSU rRNA". It matches the Rfam family "Eukaryotic small subunit ribosomal RNA", at positions 804 to 1228 of the family's 1831-position model. Lineage: Eukaryota; Fungi. The record is from RNAcentral.
UUAGCAUGGAAUAAUGGAAUAGGACGUGUGGUUUUAUUUUGUUGGUUUCUAGGACCGCCGUAAUGAUUAAUAGGGAUAGUCGGGGGCAUCAGUAUUCAAUUGUCAGAGGUGAAAUUCUUGGAUUUAUUGAAGACUAACUACUGCGAAAGCAUUUGCCAAGGAUGUUUUCAUUAAUCAGUGAACGAAAGUUAGGGGAUCGAAGACGAUCAGAUACCGUCGUAGUCUUAACCAUAAACUAUGCCGACUAGGGAUCGGGCGAUGUUAUCUUUUUGACUCGCUCGGCACCUUACGAGAAAUCAAAGUUUUUGGGUUCUGGGGGGAGUAUGGUCGCAAGGCUGAAACUUAAAGAAAUUGACGGAAGGGCACCACCAGGAGUGGAGCCUGCGGCUUAAUUUGACUCAACACGGGGAAACUCACCAGGUCCAGA